RNAcentral lists this ribosomal RNA (465 nucleotides) under uncultured bacterium. Its description in RNAcentral is "partial 16S ribosomal RNA". It matches the Rfam family "Bacterial small subunit ribosomal RNA", at positions 28 to 507 of the family's 1533-position model. The record is from RNAcentral.
GACGAACGCUGGCGGCGUGCUUAACACAUGCAAGUCGAACGGAAAGGCCCUGCUUGCCGGGUACUCGAGUGGCGAACGGGUGAGUAACACGUGGGUGAUCUGCCCUGCACUUCGGGAUAAGACUGGGAAACUGGGUCUAAUACCGGAUAGGAGCCCAUUUUAGUGUGAUGGUUGGAAAGUUUUUUCGGUGUAGGAUGAGCUCGCGGCCUAUUAGCUUGUUGGUGGGGUAAUGGCCUACCAAGGCGGCGACGGGUAGCCGGCCUGAGAGGGUGGACGGCCACAUUGGGACUGAGAGACGGCCCAGACGCCUACGGGAGGCAGCAGUGGGGAAUAUUGCACAAUGGGCGCAAGCCUGAUGCAGCGACGCCGCGUGGGGGAUGACGGCCUUCGGGUUGUAAACUCCUUUCGCUAGGGACGAAGCUUUUUGUGACGGUACCUAGAUAAGAAGCACCGGCUAACUACGUG